Molecule: ribosomal RNA, 386 nt
Filed under: uncultured eukaryote
Lineage: Eukaryota
Description: SSU rRNA
Rfam family: Eukaryotic small subunit ribosomal RNA
Source: RNAcentral
AGCUCCAAUAUCGUAUAUUAAAGUUAAUGCAGUUAAAACUCUUGUAUUUGGAUUUGUAGUGUGUCCGGUGAGCCUUUGCUCGUUGAGUGAUAGUGCUGUUACUGGUUUGCCAUGUUUGGGUGGAAUCUGUGUGGUAUUAACUUGUCGUGCAGGGGAUGCCCAUCGUUUACUAUGAAAAAAAUUAGAAUGUUCAAAAAAGGCUUAUGCUUCUGAAUAUAUUAGCAUGGAAUAAUGAUAUAGGACCUUACUAUUAUUUUGUUGGUUUGCGCACUGAGGUACUGAUUAAGAGGGACAGUUGGGGAUAUUUGUAUUCCAUUGUCCGAGGUGAAAUUCAUUGAUUUUUGGAAGACAAACUACUGAGAAAGCAUUUACCAAGGAUGUUGUUA